UCUGCACUCCCUCUGCUGCAGGCCUGAGCUCUCCUUGCCCCUGGCUCUCUUCUGCAGAGAACCUACUCUCAGCUGCCACAGGAGGGCGCUAGAGAACGGGCCUGAGCAGAGAGGCAGGAGCUCCUCUGCAGGUCCUCCCAGGCAGCACCCCUUCUGGGAGGAAGGCUUGGGAGUCCCCUAAGACAGAUCAUCAGUAGUUUCUUUCUGCCUGUGACUCAGGAAGACCAGCUCCCCCCACUGCCUUCUAUGCUAGGGAUCACUUUCUUGUUGAGUGGGACCUGAGUUUUGAGAGGGUGUUGUGCUCCUCUUCAUCUGGUCCCUUUCCUUCCAAGGCCCCAGAGAGGAAGGCAUGGGGUGGGCCCUAGCCCUGCUUCUAGCUUUCCUGCCUCCUGUCAGUCAGGUAUCUUCCAACUUAGAAGGGAGAACGAAGCUAGUCACCGGGUGGACCGGGUCAUCUGAUGUAAUCACUUGUGAUCUUCCGGUAGAAAAUGCCAGAUACAUCCACUGGUACUUCCACCAGGAAGGCAAGGCCCUACAGCGUCUUCUGUACUAUGACACCCACCAGUCCAAGAUUGUGUUGGAUUCAGGAAUCAGUCCAGGAAAGAAGGAUAAUUAUCUAAUCCUGAAGGGGAGCUGGAAAUUGGUACUGCAAAAUCUAAUUGAAAAUGAUUCUGGGGUCUAUUACUGUGCCACCUGGGACAGGCACAGUGGUUCAGACCAGCCCUACACCAGACUGAAAUCUGCCUUGGCUCCUUAGCUGCCCCCUCUCAUGUCCUGCCACUGAAUUUACUGUAUUCUGUACAAAGAUAAUCACAGCUUCACUCCUGAUCUCCGCCUAAUAUCACACUCCCCUGGCAGCAGCUGCACCUGUUCCCCACCCCUCCCCCAGGACUUUCCUGAAGACCAAGCUGCCAUCUCCAGGCCUCAGCUAAGCAGCCUGCCUGAGAGCAAGGUUCUCUCAGCUCUCCUAGGACACAGGGAAUGUCCACUCACUCUGCUUCCUAGGACACACAGGUAUGCCUAGGGUCCCGCUGUGAUUGAGAUACUUUGGACAGCAAAUGGGAAGGGUAUUUAUAUCGAAUCAUGUAUCCAGAGAUCACAGCUGAGAGCAGUGCUCCUCUUUUAGGUAUAUAACAAUAUAUGUAAUACUAUACUUACCACUAAAACACUUGGCCUAGAUAUGCAGUGGAAAAUUC
This is a non-coding RNA of Cebus imitator (Panamanian white-faced capuchin), 1196 nucleotides long. The record is from the annotation of a RefSeq genome assembly. NCBI's taxonomy places the organism in Eukaryota, Metazoa, Chordata, Mammalia, Primates, Cebidae.